UACGUAGGGGGCAAGCGUUGUCCGGAUUUAUUGGGCGUAAAGAGCGUGUAGGCGGCCGUACAGGUCAGCUGUGAAAACUCGAGGCUCAACCUCGAGACGUCGGUUGAAACCGUACGGCUAGAGUCCGGAAGAGGAGAGUGGAAUUCCCGGUGUAGCGGUGAGAUGCGCAGAUAUCGGGAAGAACACCCGUGGCGAAGGCGGUUCUCUGGGACGGUACUGACGCUGAGACGCGAAAGCGUGGGGAGCGAACAGG
This 253-nucleotide ribosomal RNA is filed under the name uncultured bacterium. RNAcentral describes it as "partial 16S ribosomal RNA". It matches the Rfam family "Bacterial small subunit ribosomal RNA", at positions 524 to 776 of the family's 1533-position model. The record is from RNAcentral.